This 930-nucleotide ribosomal RNA is filed under the name uncultured bacterium. RNAcentral's name for it is "bacterial SSU rRNA". It matches the Rfam family "Bacterial small subunit ribosomal RNA", at positions 8 to 916 of the family's 1533-position model. The record is from RNAcentral.
AGAGUUUGAUCAUGGCUCAGAAUCAACGCUGGCGGCGUGCUCAGACAUGCAAGUCGAACGCGAAAUUUCCUUCGGGGAGAAAGUAGAGUGGCGCACGGGUGAGUAACACGUAGGUAAUCUACCUUUGGAUGGGGAAUAACCCAGAGAAAUCUGGGCUAAUACCGCAUAAUGCAGCGGCACCUAAUGGUGACAGUUGUUAAAGCGGGGGAUCGAAAGACCUCGCGUCUAAAGAGGAGCCUGCGGCGGAUUAGCUAGUUGGUAAGGUAAUGGCUUACCAAGGCUACGAUCCGUAACCGGCCUGAGAGGGCGGUCGGUCACACUGACACUGACAUACGGGUCAGACUCCUACGGGAGGCAGCAGUCGGGAAUUUUGGGCAAUGGGCGAAAGCCUGACCCAGCAACGCCGCGUGAAGGAUGAAAUCCCUCGGGAUGUAAACUUCGCAAGAACGGGAAGAAUAAGUAGGGGACAAUACCCCCUAUGAUGACGGUACCGUUUGUAAGCUCCGGCUAACUCCGUGCCAGCAGCCGCGGUAAUACGGGGGGAGCAAGCGUUGUUCGGAUUUACUGGGCGUAAAGGGCGCGUAGGCGGUCAGCACAAGUCAGUUGUGAAAUCUCCGAGCUUAACUCGGAAAGGUCAACUGAUACUGUGCGACUAGAGUGCAGAAGGGGCAACUGGAAUUCUCGGUGUAGCGGUGAAAUGCGUAGAUAUCGAGAGGAACACCUGCGGCGAAGGCGGGUUGCUGGGCUGACACUGACGCUGAGGCGCGAAAGCUAGGGGAGCGAACGGGAUUAGAUACCCCGGUAGUCCUAGCCUUAAACGAUGAAUGCUUGGUGUCUGGGGUUAUAUAGUCCCCGGGUGCCGUCGCUAACGCUUUAAGCAUUCCGCCUGGGGAGUACGGUCGCAAGACUGAAACUCAAAUGAAUUGACGG